RNAcentral lists this microRNA (22 nucleotides) under Plutella xylostella (diamondback moth). RNAcentral's name for it is "pxy-miR-8524-3p". Lineage: Eukaryota; Metazoa; Arthropoda; Insecta; Lepidoptera; Plutellidae. The record is from miRBase by way of RNAcentral.
UAUGUGACUUGCAAAGCCAAGC